This 107-nucleotide non-coding RNA is filed under the name Alexandrium monilatum. The record is from RNAcentral. Lineage: Eukaryota; Dinophyceae; Gonyaulacales; Pyrocystaceae.
GCAAGGGCGGCUGGGUCAGUCCGCCCCCGCGCAAGGGCGACUGGGUAAGCCCGCCCCCGUGCAAGGGCGAAUGGGGUGUCCCCCAGGCCCUGAGCUGGGCGACGCCC